Molecule: ribosomal RNA, 122 nt
Filed under: Cenococcum geophilum
Lineage: Eukaryota; Fungi; Ascomycota; Dothideomycetes; Gloniales; Gloniaceae
Description: 5.8S ribosomal RNA
Source: RNAcentral
UUGGUGCGACAGGCUUUAGGGUAUCCCCGUCAAUUCGAAAGUGUCGCCGGCACCACAUGCGUGGGCCGACUUGCAUAGCGAUCCUAGAAUUGUUUAAAGUCGCCUAGAUCUACCACUUGCGU